RNAcentral lists this ribosomal RNA (402 nucleotides) under uncultured Pseudomonadota bacterium. Its description in RNAcentral is "bacterial SSU rRNA". It matches the Rfam family "Bacterial small subunit ribosomal RNA", at positions 355 to 774 of the family's 1533-position model. Lineage: Bacteria; Pseudomonadati; Pseudomonadota. The record is from RNAcentral.
UGGGGAAUAUUGGGCAAUGGACGAAAGUCUGACCCAGCUAUGCCGCGUGAAUGAUGAAGGCCUUAGGGUUGUAAAGUUCUUUUACCAGGGAAGAUAAUGACGGUACCUGGAGAAAAAGCUCCGGCUAACUUCGUGCCAGCAGCCGCGGUAAUACGAAGGGAGCAAGCGUUGUUCGGAUUUAUUGGGCGUAAAGGGUGUGUAGGCGGUUUGAUAAGUUAGAUGUGAAAGCCCAGGGCUUAACCCUGGAAUUGCAUUUAAGACUGUUGAACUUGAAGUUUGGAGAGGUUAGCAGAAUUCCCAGUGUAGAGGUGAAAUUCGUAGAUAUUGGGAAGAAUACCAAUGGCGUAGGCAGCUAACUGGCCAAAACUUGACGCUGAGGCACGAAAGCGUGGGGAGCAAACA